Podarcis raffonei (Aeolian wall lizard) is the source of this 1854-nucleotide RNA transcript. It is a transcript of the gene named FA core complex associated protein 24, with no coding region annotated. The transcript has 5 exons. The record is from RefSeq and is a predicted model, not a curated record. NCBI's taxonomy places the organism in Eukaryota, Metazoa, Chordata, Lepidosauria, Squamata, Lacertidae.
CUAUUUUUUAAAAAGAAAACAACGUCUGGAACCUCUGCUUGGUGGUGCCAAUAAAUGCCAUUGUAGGCACUUGGGUUGGUUACCCCUGGUUUACACAUUCCUAAUUUUUGUGUCCAAAAUUGUGCUAUGCAGGGCUUUACAAAUGGAGUAUAUACCAGAAAAAAAUUAAAACCUCUGACAGAUGAUUUGUUUAUUAACCCAAUAGCCCAGUGCACAUAUGCAAUGCUUCUGCAUCUCAUGAAUAAUACCUUGUUGCCUUAUUUUUCCUGUGUUUUAUGACAGUGUUUACAAAACGAAGGAGGUCAGUGAUGGCACAUGAAGGCACUCCUGUCCGACUAGGAGCCGUUAGUGUCCCUUAUGGGCAUGUGAUUGGCCAUGAAAAAUGGAAAGGCUCUCUGGUUGCUCAGGGGAUACAAGGGAAAGUUAAACUAAUUCUAGAAGAUGGCCUGGGAGUCGUAGACUUCCAUCUUUCAAACAGAUCCUGUGUCCUUUAUAUUUCUGAAGCAGACCUGGUUGCAGGAAAUGGCUUCAAAAGGAGACUUGUUCGCUUUAGAAACGCUUGCAAUCUCCAAGGAAUUGUUAUAGUUGAAAAAACCCAGAUAAGCGGUCAAUAUUUUCCAGCAGUGCAAAAAUUUGUUGUCCUGGAACUUGGGAUGACGUUACUUCCAGUGGCAAGCCAAGAAGAAGCAGCACAUCUUAUUAUCCAGCUGGUGCAGGAGCAAACUAAAGAUCAAGCCAGCAACCCCUUUUUGGCUAAGAAAUGUCCCCAGCUCUUAGAGGCUUCUGUAUUCCAAACAGUUCAGCAGAUUCCGGGAGUUGGGAAAACAAAAGCUUUGCUUCUCCUGGAACGGUUUCAAAACCUCCACCAGCUUUGCAACGCAUCCGUCCAGGAGCUUGAGCAAGUAGUUGGACACGCUCUAGCCCAACAAAUCCAUGCGUUUUUUGCACAGGCAAAAUAACCUCACCUGGUUGGGAAGGUGGAAGUGAACCAUGUACGCCAUCUCAAGCUCCUUGCUCAAAGGACAAAGGGACAAGCAACUUAAGAAGAACCAUUGCUGUGGGUGCCUCAAAUGACUCAUCAGAUCAAGGCUCCUGCUGUCACAAUUGCCUGGGGAAAUAUAUUCUCGCAAGUGGUGCUAUGAAACCAACCCUUCCCGCCCCCGAGUUGAUCGCAAGUCUGCGAAGCCUUAUUUAUUGCUGUUGCAUCAGCUUUCAUCCGCACCUGACCUGACCGGCUGCCAGGUUGCUUUUGCGUAAAUCAUCUUGUUUCAGGUGACAUGCUUGGAAACCGGCUGUCUUGGCGCAACCUGAAGAUCACUUUUCUGCCAGGCACCUGGGAUGCUGCCAACCUGAAACACGUAGGAGUGUCAGGGUUAAAAAGGGUGCCUGACUCAGACUUCCUCACCUGCCGGUGGCGUUCUGUAUGCCUUUCGGUGGAGUCAUGCUUUCGUGAAACUCAAAGGUUAUAACCAGGCCCUUCUGGGCAAGGCUCCCAGCCUGCUGUUCGGUUCUCUUCAGAGAAGUGGAUGCCUGGGAGGACAAAUGGAAAGUGAUGCAUCUCUCUUGACUUUUUUACUGCCUGCAGUCCCGUUUUAAAGACAUCCCCUAUGGAUGUUCCUGCAUUUUGGCUAUGGAUGAAUCCACUAAUUUGGUUCCUGUCCCUUGCACAGUAUUUGCCAUUACAAGCACUCAAUUCUAGACAAGCAAAAAAAAAAAGUUGUUUUGCUAAUUAAUUGUGUUUUCCAAUUAGUGGUCCUUUGUUGGUGGAAGGCAUCUGGUAGCUAAAUGAGGGAGGGAUGCAGUUUUCAGUUAUUCUUCCUGUGUGGCCUCCAGUUCUGCUCCAGAAGGUCCCCC